AUUGAACGCUGGCGGCAUGCCUUACACAUGCAAGUCGAACGGCAGCACGGGAGCAAUCCUGGUGGCGAGUGGCGAACGGGUGAGUAAAGUAUCGGAACGUGCCCAGUCGUGGGGGAUAACGUAGCGAAAGUUACGCUAAUACCGCAUACGAUCUAUGGAUGAAAGCGGGGGAUCGCAAGACCUCGCGCGAUUGGAGCGGCCGAUAUCAGAUUAGGUAGUUGGUGGGGUAAAGGCUCACCAAGCCGACGAUCUGUAGCUGGUCUGAGAGGACGACCAGCCACAAUGGGACUGAGAAACGGCCCAGACUCCUACGGGAGGCAGAAGUGGGGAAUUUUGGACAAUGGGCGAAAGCCUGAUCCAGCCAUGCCGCGUGCAGGAUGAAGGCCUUCGUGUUGUAAACUGCUUUUGUACGGAACGAAAAGGUUUGGGCUAAUAAGCUGAGCUCAUGACGGUACCGUAAGAAUAAGCACCGGCUAACUACGUGCCAGCAGCCGCGGUAA
This 500-nucleotide ribosomal RNA is filed under the name uncultured bacterium. RNAcentral describes it as "partial 16S ribosomal RNA". It matches the Rfam family "Bacterial small subunit ribosomal RNA", at positions 30 to 523 of the family's 1533-position model. The record is from RNAcentral.